RNAcentral lists this ribosomal RNA (253 nucleotides) under uncultured bacterium. RNAcentral describes it as "partial 16S ribosomal RNA". It matches the Rfam family "Bacterial small subunit ribosomal RNA", at positions 524 to 776 of the family's 1533-position model. The record is from RNAcentral.
UACAGAGGUCUCAAGCGUUGUUCGGAUUCAUUGGGCGUAAAGGGUGUGUAGGUGGCGCCGUAAGUCGGGUGUGAAAUUUCGGAGCUUAACUCCGAAACUGCAUUCGAUACUGCGGUGCUUGAGGACUGGAGAGGAGACUGGAAUUCAUGGUGUAGCAGUGAAAUGCGUAGAGAUCAUGAGGAAGACCAGUGGCGAAGGCGGGUCUCUGGGCCUUACCUGACGCUGAGGCGCGAAAGCUAGGGGAGCGAACAGG